RNAcentral lists this ribosomal RNA (457 nucleotides) under uncultured Marmoricola sp. RNAcentral's name for it is "bacterial SSU rRNA". It matches the Rfam family "Bacterial small subunit ribosomal RNA", at positions 62 to 525 of the family's 1533-position model. The record is from RNAcentral. Lineage: Bacteria; Bacillati; Actinomycetota; Actinomycetes; Propionibacteriales; Nocardioidaceae.
CCCGGGGGUUCCAAGGGGGUAAGAGCCCUUCGGGGUACACAAGCGGCGAAAGGGUGAUAACGCUUGAGCAAUCUGCCCAUCACUUCGGGAUAACUCCGGGAAACCGGUGCUAUUACCGAAUAUGACCACUUCACGCAUCUGAUGGUGGUGGAAAGUUCCGGCGGUGAUGGAUGAGCUCGCGGCCUAUCGUCUUGGAGGUGGGGUAACGGCCUACCAAGGCUUCGACGGGUAGCCGGCCUGAGAGGGUGACCGGUCACACUGGGACUGACACACGGCCGGACUCCUACGGGAGGUUCAGUGGGGAAUAUUGGACAAUGGGCGGAAGCCUGAUCCAGCAACGGCGGGGUGAGGGAUGACGGCCUUCGGGUUGUAAACCUCUUUCAGCAGGGACGAAGCGCAAGUGACGGUACCUGCAUAAGAAGCACCGGCCAACUACGUGCCAGCAGCCGCGGUAAUA